This 202-nucleotide ribosomal RNA is filed under the name uncultured bacterium. RNAcentral's name for it is "partial 16S ribosomal RNA". It matches the Rfam family "Bacterial small subunit ribosomal RNA", at positions 130 to 334 of the family's 1533-position model. The record is from RNAcentral.
UCGAUGGAGGGGGAUAACUACUGGAAACGGUAGCUAAUACCGCAUAACGUCGCAAGACCAAAGAGGGGGACCUUAGGGCCUCUUGCCAUCGGAUGUGCCCAGAUGGGAUUAGCUAGUAGGUGGGGUAACGGCUCACCUAGGCGACGAUCCCUAGCUGGUCUGAGAGGAUGACCAGCCACACUGGAACUGAGACACGGUCCAG